GUCUUUUUAGGGCUGCACCCAUGGCAUAUGGAGGUUCCCAGGCUGGGAGUCCAAUCAGAGCUGUAGCUGCCAGCCAAUGCUAGAGUCACAGCAACUUGGAAUCCAAGCCAUGUCUGUGACCUACACCACAGCUCACAGCAACCCCAGAUCCUUAACCCUCAGAGCAAGGCCAGGGAUCAAACCUGAGUCCUCAUGGAUGCUAGUUGGGUUCAUUAACUGCUGAGCCACAACAGGAACUCCUCAAACUAAUUUCAAAUAUUAGAUGAUGAAAUUUAUUUUUUUUAAGUGAAUCAAGGAGUUCCUAUCAUGGCUCAGUAGAAACGAAUCUGACUAGUACCCAUGAGGAUGCUGGUUCAAUCCCUGGCCUCACUCAGUGGGUUAAGGAUCCAGCAUUGCCGUGAGCUGUGGUAUAGGUCGCAGAUGCAUCUUGGCUCUGGCAUUGCUGUGGUUGUGGUGUAGGCCAGCGGCUAUAGCUCCCGUUCAACCCCAGCCUGGGACCUUUCAUAUGCUACAGCUGAGUGACACCUUCAAAUUAAGGACUGUAGGAGCUCAAAUGAUGUAGACGCCAUGGGCAAUGCCUCUUUAUACACUAGAGACGCAUUCAAAUACGUCAAACAUGAGUCAAGCAGGACAUGUUCCAAAUGCUACAUUUUAAGAUUUAAUUCAUGCUGAAAAAGACCACAUGUUAGCAAUGUGACUCAAGGGCCACUGAAAAUAAGGGCAAUUAAUCCCACUACUUUUGCAGAGUAAAAGCUCACCCACUGUUUAUGAACAAAGUGUCUGGCGGCAAUUUGGGACUACAAAAUGGACGUUAACAAAGUCUCCAAAAACAGAGGUCUAUAAGUGAAAAAGUACCAACACUGUCAAGCGAUAUUUCAGAGGAGUUCCCAUGUCGUUCUCUGGCCACCAAAAUUACAUGCAUAUCUUGAAAAAUACCAAGAGAAAUUCGGUUUGUACUUAUAAUCUGCGUCAGCCCAUGAAUUAGAGCUGGUUCAAUCUCCCCAAAAUAGCUGCCCUUUAAUUGCUCACUCAUGGAACAGAUUUCACUCCAAAAAUAAAAAUCUUAUCUGUCUGUUGGUCCCUUGAAGCUCUACCCUGUUACUGCAGCAGAGUGGGCCUUGAAGUCCAUCUGACAGAACUGCAAUCAUUUGGAAAAGUUAUUCAGCAAAAGGUAGUAAAAUCUAUGAGCAUAGAUCUCUUCGUCCCGUCAGGCCCACUUUGAGGAACCUACCACACAGAAAUAAAACAUUGCUACACAUGAACCUAUGCAAUUGCGUGCUCAUUGAAGCUUCCUUUUAAUUACAAUAAUCCAGCAAUGGUUUGGAUAUUCACAACAUAGCAAAUGACAAAUUAACUUAUAUCAAGUGUCAUCAAAACGUAUUUAUCUGAAAAACAAAGGCAACAGUACAUUAUCGAAAGAGAGAGAUCCCUGAUAUCUUUGCAAACUUGAACUCAACAAAUUAAACAUAUUCGGAUCAAGAAAUGUAAACUCUUUUCACCUGUUUCUCUCUGAAUACGAAGAAAGUUCAGUCUGAUCAUGACCAAAUGUUCCCAACACAGUCAGAAGGUGUGUAAGUCCACUUUUCUUCGCCAUAACUUCAUCAAAGCUCUCUUCAGCUCACUGUUCCUCAAGCUGUAGAUCAGGGGGUUCAGCAGAGGCGUGAGAAGUGAGUAAGCCAAGGACAGGAGCUUCUUGGUGUCUGGGGAGUAGCCAGAUUUGGGCUGUAAGUAAGUCAUACUGGCUGUGCCGUAGAAGAGGGUAACAGACGUCAGAUGGGAGCCACAGGUGGAAAAGGCCUUCUGCCUCCCUGUGGUGGGUGGCAUCUUCAGGAUGGCAAGGAGGAUUCGAAGGUAAGACAGGAGUAUCAACAAGAAAGGAACCAUGACAAUCAAAACAGUGCCGGUGAACGCAUAGACUUCAAACAAAAAUGUGUCUGCACACGCAAGCUCCAGCACGGCUGGGGUUUCACAAGAAAGGUGAUUAAUUUCAUUGGGGCCACAAAAGGGAAAAUUAAAAACCCACGACGUUGGCACAGUAGCCACCAUAAUCCCUGAGACCCAUGAAAACACCACUAACUUCACGAAAACCCUCUGGUUCAUGAGCACUGGGUAGCUCAGAGGAUGGCAGAUUGCAGCAAAUCGGUCAUAAGCCAUUGCCCCCAGGAGAAAACAUUCAGUGCCACCAAAAAGAAGAAUGAAAUACAUCUGUGCAAAACAGCCAGCGAAGGUAAUCACCGUUUUCUCAGUGGAGAGGACCACCAGCAUUUCAGGCAUAACGACGGCACUGAAACUCACUUCCACCACAGACAAGUUCAGGAGGAACAGGUACAUGGGGACGUGGAGGCUCUGUUCCAGGGAGAUGACGAGAAUAAUGACGGCAUUUCCCAUCAGAGUCACCAGGUAAACCACCAAGAACACCCCAAAGAGCUGCCCUUGGAGUUCGGGAAAGUUAGAAAAGCCCAAGAGGAUGAAGUCAACCACAGAGCUCUGAUUGUGUCUUUUCAUUUCAGUAGGGAGGUAUAUAUUAUUUUACGGUACAGAAGGUAAAUGACGAAGCCACAACCCAAUAUCAGAGGGUUCAAAUACGCAGCCACUCUGGAUAAUCCUGGCAAAAGCUGUAAAAAGGAACCUAUCCUAACAGACGUUAGUUUGGAAAUUUUGGAAACGACCAAUUACAAGAUGUCAUGAAUCUUCAAAUACAAAAGGAGAAGGAAUAAUUCUGGCUUAGAAAUCUUAUCUGAAUCGCACAAAAUAAUUAUCAAAAUUCUCGUUCUUAUAAUGCAAUUUGUAUACUAUGAACUUUGAAAUUUUUAACAUAGCCUAAAAAACAAAAAUAAAUGCUUCAUAGGCCCCAUUCCUACUAUAUUGUUAUAAGUAUCAUUUACUUUUCCCAAUUUUAUAUAAAUAUGUCAUCUAAUGCCACAGAAAAUAAAGUGUCAAAAGUGACAAAUGGAAAAAUAUACCCACAAACAUUUUCAUAACAACCAAAGAAGUGUAAGUUACCACCCGGUCGAUACAUGAUUGCUGUACACAUUCAUUAGAUUCACAAUGACUGUCUGUGACUUGGUUAAAGGUGGCAGCCCUCAGCUGAGACACACAAGGAGGGAGCAGUUUACAGUGACUCACACCAGGUGAUCUGCAAACUGGGUGAACCGCCUAAACUGGCCAUACCCAUUAUAUUGACUCUGACUUCUCCAUGGCCCAUUCUUGUAACUAUAGAGACCUAUGUUUGAUCAUUGCGAAACUGCGUUUUAAAAGAUUCUUUCUCUGUCCAUCCCUCCCUCCACGACUGCCAUCGGACUCUGUCUCUGUCUCUCUUCCCUCCAGCCCCACUCCACAGCUCUCCUUCUCAUCAGAAAGGUCAUUCAAUCACUACUUACUCAACAAACACUGAGCACCCACCACACUCUGGCAUUGAUUGUACAGCUCAACAGAAGUGACAACACUGCACAGAACCGCAUACCACCUACACUCUAACUCCUGCCCCUUAUGCCUUGCUCCGCUUGCCUCUAUUAUCAACAACUAAGAUUACAUAUAUUCUAACUCCCUACCUAAUACAAAAACUCCAGGAAUAUAAAGGUUUUGUUUUGUUCUUUGCUAUAUUCACCAUGCCUACAACAGCCCCUGGCCCAUAAUACAGGCUAAACCAAUAUUUGAUGAAAACAGAAAUGAAAUGGGAAAAUCCAGACAGUAUUUUAAAGGAAU
RNAcentral lists this long non-coding RNA (3705 nucleotides) under Sus scrofa (pig). Its description in RNAcentral is "lncRNA (ENSSSCG00045035450.1)". Lineage: Eukaryota; Metazoa; Chordata; Mammalia; Artiodactyla; Suidae. The record is from RNAcentral.